This 165-nucleotide ribosomal RNA is filed under the name uncultured Comamonas sp. RNAcentral describes it as "partial 16S ribosomal RNA". It matches the Rfam family "Bacterial small subunit ribosomal RNA", at positions 340 to 498 of the family's 1533-position model. Lineage: Bacteria; Pseudomonadati; Pseudomonadota; Betaproteobacteria; Burkholderiales; Comamonadaceae. The record is from RNAcentral.
UACGGGAGGCAGCAGUGGGGAAUUUUGGACAAUGGGCGAAAGCCUGAUCCAGCAAUGCCGCGUGCAGGAUGAAGGCCCUCGGGUUGUAAACUGCUUUUGUACGGAACGAAAAGCCUGGGGCUAAUAUCCCCGGGUCAUGACGUACCGUAAGAAAGACCGAUUCCC